Molecule: ribosomal RNA, 388 nt
Filed under: uncultured Caulobacteraceae bacterium
Lineage: Bacteria; Pseudomonadati; Pseudomonadota; Alphaproteobacteria; Caulobacterales; Caulobacteraceae
Description: partial 16S ribosomal RNA
Rfam family: Bacterial small subunit ribosomal RNA
Source: RNAcentral
CCUACGGGAGGCAGCAGUGGGGAAUCUUGCGCAAUGGGCGAAAGCCUGACGCAGCCAUGCCGCGUGAAUGAUGAAGGUCUUAGGAUUGUAAAAUUCUUUCACCGGGGACGAUAAUGACGGUACCCGGAGAAGAAGCCCCGGCUAACUUCGUGCCAACAGCCGCGGUAAUACGAAGGGGGCUAGCGUUGCUCGGAAUUACUGGGCGUAAAGGGAGCGUAGGCGGACAUUUAAGUCAGGGGUGAAAUCCCGGGGCUCAACCUCGGAAUUGCCUUUGAUACUGGGUGUCUUGAGUAUGAGAGAGGUGUGUGGAACUCCGAGUGUAGAGGUGAAAUUCGUAGAUAUUCGGAAGAACACCAGUGGCGAGGGCGACACACGGGCUCAUUACUGA